CGUGAAAUCCCCGGGCUCAACCUGGGAAUUGCGUUGGAGACUGCAAGGCUAGAAUCUGGCAGAGGGGGGUAGAAUUCCACGUGUAGCAGUGAAAUGCGUAGAGAUGUGGAGGAACACCGAUGGCGAAGGCAGCCCCCUGGGUCAAGAUUGACGCUCAUGCACGAAAGCGUGGGGAGCAAACAGGAUUAGAUACCCUGGUAGUCCACGCCCUAAACGAUGUCUACUAGUUGUCGGGUUUUAAUUAACUUGGUAACGCAGCUAACGCGUGAAGUAGACCGCCUGGGGAGUACGGUCGCAAGAUUAAAACUC
This 309-nucleotide ribosomal RNA is filed under the name uncultured Massilia sp. Its description in RNAcentral is "bacterial SSU rRNA". It matches the Rfam family "Bacterial small subunit ribosomal RNA", at positions 593 to 902 of the family's 1533-position model. The record is from RNAcentral. Lineage: Bacteria; Pseudomonadati; Pseudomonadota; Betaproteobacteria; Burkholderiales; Oxalobacteraceae.